UAAGAGUCUGAUACAGCGCGGUGAGGGUCUGUAAAGACCAGGUAAGAGACUGUUAUAGUGGGUGAGGGUCUGUUAUAACUGGUGAGAGGCUGUUAUGGCAGGUGAGGGUCUGGGAUAAUGGGUGAGGUUCCGUUAUACCAGCUGAGAGGCUGUUAUAGUGGGUGAAGGUCUGUUAUAGCGAGUGAGGGUCUGUUAUACAAGGCGAGAAUCUGUUAUAGUGGGUGAGGGUCUGUUAUACCAGGUGAGAGUCUGUUAUAGUGGGUAAGGGUCUGUUAUAGCGGGUGAUGGUCUGUUGUACAAGGUGAGAGUCUGUUAUAGUGGGUGAGGGUCUGUUAUACCAGGUGAGAGUCUGUUAUAGUGGAUAAGGGUCUGUUAUAGCGGGUGAGGGUCUGUUAUAACGAGAGAGGGUCUUUUAUAGCAGAUGAGGGUCUGUUAUACCAGGUGAGAGGCUGUUAUGGCAGGUAAGGGUCUGGGAUAGUGGGUGAGGUUUUGCUAUACCAGCUGAGAGGCUGUUAUAGUGGUUGAGGGUCUGUUAUACCAGGUAAGAGUUUGUUAUAGUGGGUGAGGGUCUGUUAUAUCAGGUGAGAGUCUGUUAUAGCAGGUCAGGGUCUACUAUAGCAGUUGAGAGUCUAUUAUAGUAGGAGAGUGUUUGAUAUAAUGGGUCCAAGUCUGUAAUAGCGGAUGAGUGUCUGUUACAGCAAGUGAGGGUCUGUUAUAACAGUUCAGGGUCUGUUUUAACAGGUGAGGGUCAGUUAUUGCAGGCAACAGGCUGUUAUGAGGUUCUGCUAUUGUGUGUCAGGGUCUGUUAUAACAGGUCAGGAUCUAUUACAGCAGGGGCGAGUCUAUUAUAACAGGUCCUAGUUUGCUGCUAAUUCCACUCCAUAAAGUAAUAUGCAUGUGUUUAUUUUUUCAGUGUGACUGAAAGGAAGGCAUCUCAGAAUGUAAACAAGGUUGUAUAGAAAUAAUAA
Brienomyrus brachyistius is the source of this 968-nucleotide long non-coding RNA. RefSeq lists it as uncharacterized. The transcript has 3 exons. Lineage: Eukaryota; Metazoa; Chordata; Actinopteri; Osteoglossiformes; Mormyridae. The record is from RefSeq and is a predicted model, not a curated record.